GACGAACGCUGGCGGCGUGCCUAAUACAUGCAAGUAGAACGCUGAUGGAGGAGCUUGCUUCUCUGGAUGAGUUGCGAACGGGUGAGUAACGCGUAGGUAACCUGCCUGGUAGCGGGGGAUAACUAUUGGAAACGAUAGCUAAUACCGCAUAAUAGUAGAUGUUGCAUGACAUUUGCUUAAAAGGUGCAAUUGCAUCACUACCAGAUGGACCUGCGUUGUAUUAGCUAGUUGGUGGGGUAACGGCUCACCAAGGCGACGAUACAUAGCCGACCUGAGAGGGUGAUCGGCCACACUGGGACUGAGACACGGCCCAGACUCCUACGGGAGGCAGCAGUAGGGAAUCUUCGGCAAUGGACGGAAGUCUGACCGAGCAACGCCGCGUGAGUGAAGAAGGUUUUCGGAUCGUAAAGCUCUGUUGUAAGAGAAGAACGAGUGUGAGAGUGGAAAGUUCACACUGUGACGGUAUCUUACCAGAAAGGGACGGCUAACUACGUG
RNAcentral lists this ribosomal RNA (495 nucleotides) under uncultured bacterium. RNAcentral's name for it is "partial 16S ribosomal RNA". It matches the Rfam family "Bacterial small subunit ribosomal RNA", at positions 28 to 507 of the family's 1533-position model. The record is from RNAcentral.